GCACUGUAAGGAUGGUGCAGGAACAAGAGCUGGGCAAGACUCGGUGCCAGCCGCCGCGGUAAUAGCAGCAGCUCGAGUGAUAGUCGAUAUUAUUGGGCUUAAAGUGUCCGUAGCUGGCCGUGUCAAGUCCGUCGUGAAAUCCAGCUCGCUCUAACGUAGUGGGCGUGCAGCGGAUAACUGCACUGGCUAGGGACCGGACGACUGUGAGAGGCUAUGUCCAGGAGUAGGAGUGAAAAUCCCGUAAUCCUGUACGGACCGCCGAUGGCGAAAGCACUCAAGACUACGGAUCCGACAGUGAGGGACGAAAGCCAGGGUCUCGAACCGGAUUAGAUACCCGCGUAGUCCUAGCCGUAAACGAUGCCUCUAGAUGUGGCACAACCUACGGGCUUGGGCGGUGCCGAAGGAA
Molecule: ribosomal RNA, 406 nt
Filed under: uncultured haloarchaeon
Lineage: Archaea; Methanobacteriati; Methanobacteriota; Halobacteria; Halobacteriales; Halobacteriaceae
Description: bacterial SSU rRNA
Rfam family: Archaeal small subunit ribosomal RNA
Source: RNAcentral